This 1700-nucleotide long non-coding RNA is filed under the name Olea europaea (common olive). RNAcentral describes it as "long non-coding RNA (OEUR_LNC011273)". The record is from RNAcentral. Lineage: Eukaryota; Viridiplantae; Streptophyta; Magnoliopsida; Lamiales; Oleaceae.
AGUGCUCAUUUCUAGCUUUUUAUUCAAUAACAAAAAAGUACAAAAAUGAAAGAUGGGAAAUUUUAAAGCAAGAGCGUUAUUGAUCUUAAAAAUUAGGCAAGAACUUCAAGCAGUUGAUAAUUUAUUAGUACCUGCAUGAAGAUGAUGGUUGCUAAGGGGAUUGGUGGUAGAGGAGAAGAGGCGCCGGUGGCCUCUGUUUCUGUUCCUCGUCUGCACCCCCAAAAAAAUAAACACUUCUUUUCUUUUAGUUUUAUCAACAUUUCCUAUUUUCUUUACUUUCUAUACAUUCAUUUUGAUGCAUAGUCUCCAUCGCCAGUGGGGGAGAGGGGUGCUUCCUUGUGGACAAUUUACUAGAGAGCGUGGUAUUAUUGAACACAUACUUAUUACCAUCAUACUAUUGGGAGUCUAAUUUCUAGACUUACUUUAUAUUGUUAAAUUACAUAGAUGAUUUCGAGCUAAGGGAAUAGUAUGUAUUUUCAAGUAAGAUGAUGAAAACAACAACUAGACUAGGUGCGCAUGAUCCCUGAAACUUCUCAGUCCUUAUUUUAUAAAUGUUAUUACUCACAAAAAGUACGAAAUUUUCUCUUGUAAAGCAAUGCCAGUAGGAACAACUAGAUAAUUACAUGUGCAAUUUUGAAAGACUAGGCAAAUAUUGGAGUGUAAAACCAGGAAACUGGAAAUGUGAGAUAAAUUGAUAGUAGUAGACUCAACAUAAGGGAAAACGUAAUAAUAACAAUACGAAGAAGAAAGCUCCUUCCUGCAUUUUCAGAUGAAAAAAAUGCCCCCACACCACCAUGACCCUUCAGUCCACAAUUUCUCAGCCAAAUAUUGUAGUUUCCAAUCUCAUCCAAGUAAAUCGCCUUUACUUCUUCGACAAUUAUUAAAGCUAGAAACAACUUAAGAUAAAAAAAGGUAAACAGAUAUCUCUUAACAGGAUUUCCUGUGUUGCAAUGAAGAGUAAGUUGCACUUUGACAUUAAUCUUAAGGGUAAUGAUUUAACAACAUAGAGCCAACUCUAAAUUUAUUGACAAUAAGGCUUAGUUUAUUGUUGUUUUUGAAUGAUUUACCACACAUCUAAAAAAUUCUCAUUUCAGCUGCAGUUACUACAUGAUAGUCCACUUGCCAGCAUAGGAUAUGUAAGCUAUAAUGCUUAGACUUUUAAUAGGAAGUAAAUGAAAAGAUCCAAAAGUUUGGCGGCCAAACUGUGACUACCCUCAAACUGCAAUUUACAAAAAUAGCUGCCAAGCUACAAUACGGGAACAGUGUUCUGUGAAAAUAUUCUUUUAUCUUUUAAAAUCAUGUUAAAUAAAAUAAACUUAUUAUGGUAAAAUCAGAUAAUUAUUUAAUUGAUAAGGGUACAUACAAAGCAAGAUUUUUGAAGAUGGUAUAAUUUAUUUUGUAUACAUGUUAAUAUGUAAACAGGUAUGUUUAACAAUAGAAAUUAGGAUAUGUAAAUAAGCAUAUUUACUAAUGUAAAGUCGAGAUAAUUGUUGUUAGUAUAAAUUGAUACUUUUGAGGUUAAAACAAGGAAUUAUGUGUGAGAUUGAAGGAAAGUAGCUAUGUUUGGGGACUAGACCUUAGGAAAUGAUUGAAGUUGCGAAGAAGGCAUUUAAUCAAUGGUCAAACCCUCGCAGCUAGCAUACAUGUAUACAAACAAGAACAAAAGCCACACCACACCAACCUCCUCACACGUUGAUCUC